GCCCGAGUGGCGCAAUUGGCUGACGCGAUGCACUCAAAAUGCAUUGUCCUCCGGGACAUGUGGGUUCGAAUCCCACCUCGGGCA
Molecule: transfer RNA, 84 nt
Filed under: Actinomycetota bacterium
Lineage: Bacteria; Bacillati; Actinomycetota
Description: tRNA-Leu
Rfam family: tRNA
About the family: Transfer RNA (tRNA) molecules are approximately 80 nucleotides in length. Their secondary structure includes four short double-helical elements and three loops (D, anti-codon, and T loops).
Source: RNAcentral